RNAcentral lists this ribosomal RNA (350 nucleotides) under uncultured bacterium. RNAcentral's name for it is "bacterial SSU rRNA". It matches the Rfam family "Bacterial small subunit ribosomal RNA", at positions 133 to 507 of the family's 1533-position model. The record is from RNAcentral.
CGAGUGGGGAAUAACUUCGGGAAACCGAGGCUAAUACCGCAUAAUACCCACGGGUCAAAGGAGCAAUUCGCUUGAGGAGGGGACGGUCGGCCGGCGUAGUUAGUUAGUCGGGACGGUAGUCCGCCCCACGACGACGGUGAUCGGUAUCCGGCCUGAGAGGGCGCACGGACACACUGGAACUGAAACACGGUCCAGACUCCUACGGGAGGCAGCAGUGGGGAAUUUUGCGCAAUGGGGGAAACCCUGACGCAGCAACGCCGCGUGGAGGAUGAAGUCUCUUGGGACGUAAACUCCUUUCGAUCGGGACGAUUAUGACGGUACCGGAAGAAGAAGCCCCGGCUAACUUCGUG